Molecule: long non-coding RNA, 1928 nt
Organism: Gallus gallus (chicken)
Lineage: Eukaryota; Metazoa; Chordata; Aves; Galliformes; Phasianidae
Source: Ensembl
CUGCUCGUUUUGUGCAGAGAGGAACUCUGGAGUGCUACCUCGUAGGGGCUUUGCAUCCAAAAUAGCCCCCUCUGCAGUUUUCCUCCUCAUCCAGAAGUGGCUAUAUGUAAGACACGGCAGAUAGCUGGCAUACAGGAAGUGUUAUUCAGCUUUCAUUCCAUACACAGACAGAAGAAAGAACAAAGCAAGGGUUAAAAAUAAGAAAUUUGGAGGAAAAGAAACUUCGAGGAAAGAAAUGAGCUAUACCCAUCCAGCUGUGCUAUCUGCUGCCCUGUCGGCAGGGAAUGAUGUAUUUUUGAGAAGGACGCGUGUGUAAAGAAACAGUGAUUGAAAACACAUGCGAAUGGAAAGGGAUUUUACCCAGCUCUCCCUCAGCCUGAGAAGAAAGCUGUCCAUUGCACUAAUUGCCACGCGAGCCCCAGAACUGUGUGGCGCUGCCAGGCUCUGAUCCCUCCCUGGAGAGCAGAGACGAAUGCAGAAGGACGGCGCGGGAGGUCAGGGGCAGCCAGCAAGAUCUUGCAGUCUCACAGUCUUUGGAUUUGCAGUAGCUAUAGAUGCUCACUUGAUGCUACGGCCGUCAGCACCAUGGACUUCCCUGCCUCCAGGAUGCAUGCAGUUGCCCAAAGGACUCUGGAGGGAUAUAUAUUAUAUAUAUACAAGAUAUACAUCACGGUCUAUAUUACAGCUGAAGGCAGAAAGAAAGUGUAAUGUCAACUGGGCUGGAUCAGAAUGUCAACAGGAAGGAUCAUGGCACAUCAGAGCAACCAUGUGGUGCUCGGAGAUGGCAUUUGUUGCAUCCACGGCAUUUCAGCUCGCCCAUCACUGCGCAUGGAAUUAAACCAGGAGAAGCCUUUUGGUGGCUCCAGCAGGUGCCUGCAGCACUGAGCACUGCCCAGCUGCAGACAGUUCCCCCCACGUGCCUAUUGCUGCCCCCGCCAUGGAGCCCCAGCUUCGUUCACGUCUUUAAACAGGAGGUGGCAGAGGCAGCUCAGUGCCCUGGAAGGUCAGGUCAGGCUUCAGGGCCUCCAGCUGCCUGAAAGCUGAACAGAAAUGAAAAGCUGUUGGUUAAGGAGAGAGCGCCUCGGGCUUCCCGCUGAGCCUGGCUGCAGCCCUUUAAUUAGGGAGUACGAGUCACAGGCUCACAGAAUCAUCAGGGAUGGAUAAGACCUUCAAGAUCAUCAAGUCCAAACAUCAACCUGACCUGCGGAGUUGCUAAAACUUGCCCCACAUCCACAUGACUUUAUAAGACAGAGCUGUAUUUUCCACUUUAACCAAACCUGCCCUGCUCUGCAAGCCAUUUCUUCUCUCUCUGCCCUUCUGCUAGCCCUGCCAUGCCACUCCUCCCCAUGUAUUCUGGAUGGCGAGGCGAGGCUGUAAUGCCCCACAGCACACCGGCUUCGAACACCUGCAAGGAAUUAAGGGAGGGUGAAAUACUCCCAGGAGCCUGUUGCGCAUCCUUUAGCCUCUACAAAAUCCUGAAUUCCUUUUGCAUGAGAACAUGGGUACAUCUGCUUGCAAUCAUCGUUCCCCAGUCAGCCGGCCUGCCGAAGCAGAAACAUGAUUCUCCACACUUUGGUCAGCAUUCGCAGCCGUGGGGCCAGGAUUGGAGAGGAGCAGAAUAAGCCUGCCUUUCAGCCGCGCUUCCCCAGCAGCCUGCCUGCCCCAGUGCUCACAGUCCUGUGUGCUCCUUGCCCUACUUUCAGGGAUUGAGAAAUGCUUAAAUAAAGAGAAACUUGUUCUGUGGUGGAAAAAUGGUCACUUCUUCUGGCGAGGCAUUUGAGAAGGAGACAGGAAGCAUGUUAUUUUAAAGGUAAACUGAUAAAAUGUUUGUUUGCUGAAGGAGCAGGAGGAAUGUCAAAAACAUGUCUUUAUAUACUACUGUACAAAAAGUUAUUUGAGGAUAUAGCUCUGCCAUGACAACAACUGCA